This 266-nucleotide long non-coding RNA is filed under the name Lupinus angustifolius (narrow-leaved blue lupine). RNAcentral's name for it is "long non-coding RNA (LANG_LNC001835)". Lineage: Eukaryota; Viridiplantae; Streptophyta; Magnoliopsida; Fabales; Fabaceae. The record is from RNAcentral.
CGGCUUGGUACGGGACCUGUACUCUCGAUUAUUUCCGAUUAGGAUGUUGGAUGGAUAUUGGUGUAAGGUGGAUAAUCAUGACAUAUCAUGCAUACAUUAUCAUUAUGGAAGUAAAUUCCCACUUGUGAGUUACAGGUAUUAUGUAUUUCUACGUUUAUGUUUGUGAGAUGGUUAUGAGUAGAAUAUUGAUUAUAUGAUUUGAUAUAUUGGUAAUGUUGGAAUAAUUGGUAAGUUAUGUAUUACUUCAUGAUGUUGAUGAUAACUGA